Hibiscus syriacus is the source of this 352-nucleotide long non-coding RNA. RefSeq lists it as uncharacterized. The record is from RefSeq and is a predicted model, not a curated record. The transcript has 3 exons. NCBI's taxonomy places the organism in Eukaryota, Viridiplantae, Streptophyta, Magnoliopsida, Malvales, Malvaceae.
CAAAGAGGCAUCUUCUUACGACUGUAUGGAGUGUUUUUGUUAGUGCAAAAAGACUUGUUGCUGGUGACUCAGUCCUUUUUAUCUGGAAUGUGAAGAAUCAAUUGUUGUUGGGUAUACGGAGGACAAAUCGUCCUACUGUUAUGCCUUCUUCUGUUUUAUCAAGUGAUGGCAUGCACAUUGGUCUUCUUGCUGCAGCUGCAACCAAUAGCCGUUUUACUAUAUUUUUCAACCCAAGGGCUAGUCCUUCAGAGUUUGUGAUUCCUCUUGCCAAGUAUGAUAAAGCAGUCUACCAGACCCGGGUUUCUGCAGGUAUGCGGUUUAGACUGCUGUUUGAGACAGAAGAGUCAAAUGU